This 786-nucleotide ribosomal RNA is filed under the name Serratia sp. (in: enterobacteria). Its description in RNAcentral is "bacterial SSU rRNA". It matches the Rfam family "Bacterial small subunit ribosomal RNA", at positions 1 to 751 of the family's 1533-position model. The record is from RNAcentral. Lineage: Bacteria; Pseudomonadati; Pseudomonadota; Gammaproteobacteria; Enterobacterales; Yersiniaceae.
GAGCGGGAUUAAACUCGCGAUGCAUCUAGAUUAGAGUUUGAUCCUGGCUCAGAUUGAACGCUGGCGGCAGGCUUAACACAUGCUAGUCGAGCGGUAGCACAGGGGAGCUUGCUCCCUGGGUGACGAGCGGCGGACGGGUGAGUAAUGUCUGGGAAACUGCCUGAUGGAGGGGGAUAACUACUGGAAACGGUAGCUAAUACCGCAUAACGUCGCAAGACCAAAGAGGGGGACCUUCGGGCCUCUUGCCAUCAGAUGUGCCCAGAUGGGAUUAGCUAGUAGGUGGGGUAAUGGCUCACCUAGGCGACGAUCCCUAGCUGGUCUGAGAGGAUGACCAGCCACACUGGAACUGAGACACGGUCCAGACUCCUACGGGAGGCAGCAGUGGGGAAUAUUGCACAAUGGGCGCAAGCCUGAUGCAGCCAUGCCGCGUGUGUGAAGAAGGCCUUCGGGUUGUAAAGCACUUUCAGCGAGGAGGAAGGUGGUGAGCUUAAUACGUUCAUCAAUUGACGUUACUCGCAGAAGAAGCACCGGCUAACUCCGUGCCAGCAGCCGCGGUAAUACGGAGGGUGCAAGCGUUAAUCGGAAUUACUGGGCGUAAAGCGCACGCAGGCGGUUUGUUAAGUCAGAUGUGAAAUCCCCGGGCUCAUCCUGGGAACUGCAUUUGAAACUGGCAGCUAGAGUCUCGUAAAGGGGGGUAGAAUUCCAGGUGUAGCGGUGAAAUGCGUAGAGAUCUGGAGGAAUACCGGUUGGCGAAUGCGGCCCCCUGCACGAUGACUGACGCUCAGG